Molecule: ribosomal RNA, 640 nt
Filed under: uncultured bacterium
Lineage: Bacteria
Description: bacterial SSU rRNA
Rfam family: Bacterial small subunit ribosomal RNA
Source: RNAcentral
GCUGGCGGCAUGCCUUACACAUGCAAGUCGAAUGGCAGCGGGCCCUUCGGGGUGCCGGCGAGUGGCGAACGGGUGAGUAAUGCAUCGGAACGUACCCGGGAGUGGGGGAUAACCAGCCGAAAGGCUGGCUAAUACCGCAUGAUCUCGGAAGAGCAAAGCGGGGGACCUUCGGGCCUCGCGCUCUCGGAGCGGCCGAUGUCCGAUUAGCUAGUUGGUGAGGUAAAGGCUCACCAAGGCGACGAUCGGUAGCGGGUCUGAGAGGACGAUCCGCCACACUGGGACUGAGACACGGCCCAGACUCCUACGGGAGGCAGCAGUGGGGAAUCUUGGACAAUGGGCGCAAGCCUGAUCCAGCAAUGCCGCGUGGGUGAAGAAGGCCUUCGGGUUGUAAAGCCCUUUCGGCGGGGAAGAAAUCGGCCGGGCGAAUAGUUCGGCUGGAUGACGGUACCCGCAGAAGAAGCACCGGCUAACUACGUGCCAGCAGCCGCGGUAAUACGUAGGGUGCGAGCGUUAAUCGGAAUUACUGGGCGUAAAGGGUGCGCAGGCGGCUGUGUAAGACCGGUGUGAAAUCCCCGGGCUCACCUGGGAAUGGCGCUGGUGACUGCACAGCUCGAGUACGGUAAAGGGGGGUGGAUUCCUG